RNAcentral lists this unclassified non-coding RNA (387 nucleotides) under soil metagenome. RNAcentral's name for it is "partial contains 5.8S ribosomal RNA, internal transcribed spacer 2, and large subunit ribosomal RNA". The stretch from base 1 to 120 matches the Rfam family "5.8S ribosomal RNA", at positions 35 to 154 of the family's 154-position model. The record is from RNAcentral.
GAUGAAGAACGUAGCGAAAUGCGAUAAGUAAUGUGAAUUGCAGAAUUCAGUGAAUCAUCGAAUCUUUGAACGCACCUUGCACCCUUUGGCAUUCCGAAGGGUAUGCUCGUUUGAGUGUCAUUGUACUCUCACACUCUCCGAUCCUAUGGAUUCGGGGAGCGGUGGACUUGGGUGUUGCUGCCUUUCCCUGUGGCUCACCUCAAAUGCGUCAGUGCACCUCUUGGUUGGACAUAGUACGGCGUGAUAAGUGUCUUCGCCGGCACCUCGCAAGAGGGUGGCCGAUCGGGAGCUCUGCGCUUUCAAACCGUCUUCGGACAAUUUCUGACAUCUUGACCUCAAAUCGAGUAGGACUACCCGCUGAACUUAAGCAUAUCAAUCAGCGGAGGA